UGGCCUGUCUCCAGUUCUAUGGCAUCUCUUAUUGUCUCCAAUUUUUUAAAUAUCAUUGGUAUGUAACACCCCCCAUCCCCCACUUUGGGUUCACUCUCCCACUUCACAUUAGCACUGGUGAGUUGUAUCCCAAGAAGAUGGCUGAAUACUUCUCCCUUAGGAUUCUAGGAGUAACUCUAGGGGCAACUUUUUUGGAGGUUGAUCAUGAGCCCCCAACCACCGAUUACUAGUUAGCCAGCUCAAGUUAAUUAUCUUAGAUUAGGUGAGCCUUUGUUGGCCUCAUUUGAGUUCUUAUACAUGUCCUGACCAACAAGAUAAGAUGGUCACCAAUCAGAAGGUCUUUUCAUGAGGGAUAGCUGGGAAGCGUAGUCCAGGCGGUGAAGAUGGCAACCAAUGAAGAGUCUCUAUCCCGGGUCAGUGUAGUCUAUCUAGACAGGAUGUGAAAGCGGCAAUGGGCAACCAAGGGAGAAGGCCAGCUCAUAGCUUGGGAUCUGGAUUAAGGCUCACAAGUAACACUAUCAAUGAGAGAUCAGAACUCUCCCAUAGAGGGCAGUAUGGGGGGGGUGAAAAGAUAGGGUAGGAUGCAGAGAGUCAAGGGUAAACAACCCAGCCCAGACCUUUGUCCAAAAUGAGUAGCUUGUACUUCUCAUCUCAUGGACCACGAGUUCUGCAUUUUAUGGGUCAGUUAACCUCCCUCCAUCUUAUGGAAAUGAUGGCGCCUGACUCUUCCACAUGUCAUUGAAAAUCUAAAAAUCAUUCCUUUUCAAAUAAGGGCUUUUCAUCAGUUCAGCUUGACUUUUCUCCCCAAUUAGUUUGAAUCAGUUCAACUAUAAAUAACACACAUGUUCCCUCCUUGUCAUCUUUCUUCCACAGAACCAAAAAAAAAAACUCAAGAAAAGAUUCAAAAUAACAACUUGAAGAAACUUUCUUCUUCCUCCUCUUUUUCUCACUUCCUUCCACAGCUGGCACUGGGCUGACUUCUGUUCAAGCUUUCACCAGUCUUCGGUGGGAUCUCAGGGGUGUAAAGAUCUGGUCUAUCACUUUGGUGAAGAAAGUAGGAGAAAGAAGAAUCUAAUUAAGUACACCAUUGACCACUUCGGAAAGGACUUUUUCAAGAGGAAAUGUCAGGAACAGCAUGAGCUGACAAACAACAGAGCUGGGGCCAGUCAGUCACAACAUCCCCCCACUGCAGCAGAGAGAGGCACAGAUGCGUUGCUGACAACUGAAUCCAUGCUCCCUUCUAAAUUCAAGCUACUAAAUAAAUUAGAAAGAGACUCUGAUUAUGUAUGCCCUCAACAACCAAGAUAGCAUCACUACCGUUGCAUUGAUCUGGGGUCUGGGGGGGAUCUUAGAGUGGCCCCAGCCACUGACAACAAUGACUCUAC
Molecule: long non-coding RNA, 1385 nt
Filed under: Phascolarctos cinereus (koala)
Lineage: Eukaryota; Metazoa; Chordata; Mammalia; Diprotodontia; Phascolarctidae
Description: lncRNA (ENSPCIG00000029210.2)
Source: RNAcentral